AACAACCUUCAGUCACAACUGAGAAGGUCACAUGGUGCAUCACUGCCGCUCAGUCUCCCCAAGCCCAGUGAUUUCUUCACAAUUAGGGAUCUGAGACCCGCAGUAUGGCAGUGACAAGAUCCAAGUCUUGGGACACCUAGCCAGGAGGGAAGAAUUUGAGGGAGAGGUGGAAAAUAUGCGAGGCUGAACUGACCUUCAAGGACAAGAAGGCUGUGUUCAGAUAGACAGAGUUUGUCUUCUGGGAGAGGAGUGGGCUUAUCCAGGAUGAUCCCAAAGGCAGAUUGAGGACCAGUGGGAGGACAUCCUGAGAAAGCAGAUCCAGCUUUAGGCAAGGAAGGACUUCGUAACAGGCAGAGAGCCCAUGUUGGAAACAAGCAGCUCUGCAAGGUGUGGGCCCACUGUCUGACUCCCUGCGGGGCUGCUGCCUUGGAAGAGCCUCCUGCUUAGAGAGGUUCUCCUGCCGCCAGCUGUCUCUCCUGAGUCCUGAGCACCACAUCUCUGGACCGUCUGGAGCCUCCCCUCCCUUGGCUUACUGCUCCCACCACCCUCUCUCUCCACCUUGCAAGAGACACUCUCCCUCAUCCUGGGUCAUCACCCUCUUUAGAGGCGCCGCCUGGCCACGAGGCAUCAGAUGGAGUGCAGCCGGGAGCAAGAUUCUCAUAGCAAUUACAAAGAUUCACAAGAAAAUGUGCCCUCCACUACACAGCUGUAAUUUACAUGCUUUCAAACUUGAUAUGGAAUGACUGUGGUUUCCCCUGAAAGAAGCAUCACUGAUCUCUGCACAGGAGAAACAAGGGUGUGUUAGGAGUUACAUCCACUAACCUCUGGGGCUAGAAUGUUCCUCCUAAUCCCGGAUUACCAGCUUACAACCCCAAUGCCCACUUUCUCAAACAAGCCUCGUCUUUUUAAAGACAGGAUCUUGCUCUGUCACCUAGGCUGGAGUGCAAUGGCACACUCACGGCUCACUGCAGCGUCAAACUCCCAGGCUCAAGUGUUCCUCCUACCUCAGCCUCCUGAGUAGCUAGGACCACAGCACAGGCCCAGACACAAAGCAGAUGUGCAGUGGAGUGUGAAAGAGGCAGCCAACUCACUGGGGAGCUUCAGAGGGAGAUGGCCCAAAUUGCUGGGGCCUAAGAAUCUCCCGGAAUGAAGGAACAGUAGAAAGAACUGGAAGCCAAAUAUGGUGAUAGAGACUCUCAUCAAGGACACUGAGUAAACCAGAAACCUGCUUGGGCUCACGUUCCUUGUCUCUUCUUCUCAGAUCCAGGAAAGGAGCUGUCCAGGACAAUGAGGAUAGGCUGAGGAAAGACAGGCCACGGCCUUGCCUCUGUGCCAGCUCUCAUGGGCCAGGCAGAGUAUCCCAGGACAACUGCCUCCACAACCAGCUCCAUCCUUCAUCAGCAAUUCAGUACCUGAUUAACAAAUCUGUACCCCAGGAGGUUAUGCCAAGUCCAACUUCUUCCAGAGACCACAACAAUAAAUCCAAGCCACUGCUAAUGUCAUUUAUAAGCUGUGGGAUUAAAACAGAGAAGCAAUCAAUUAAUUAAAAUUAGCUCUUUAUUGAAACUAUAA
This is a long non-coding RNA of Homo sapiens (human), 1572 nucleotides long. The record is from Ensembl. Lineage: Eukaryota; Metazoa; Chordata; Mammalia; Primates; Hominidae.